RNAcentral lists this ribosomal RNA (2923 nucleotides) under Staphylococcus aureus. RNAcentral describes it as "23S ribosomal RNA". It matches the Rfam family "Bacterial large subunit ribosomal RNA". The record is from RNAcentral. Lineage: Bacteria; Bacillati; Bacillota; Bacilli; Caryophanales; Staphylococcaceae.
GAUUAAGUUAUUAAGGGCGCACGGUGGAUGCCUUGGCACUAGAAGCCGAUGAAGGACGUUACUAACGACGAUAUGCUUUGGGGAGCUGUAAGUAAGCUUUGAUCCAGAGAUUUCCGAAUGGGGAAACCCAGCAUGAGUUAUGUCAUGUUAUCGAUAUGUGAAUACAUAGCAUAUCAGAAGGCACACCCGGAGAACUGAAACAUCUUAGUACCCGGAGGAAGAGAAAGAAAAUUCGAUUCCCUUAGUAGCGGCGAGCGAAACGGGAAGAGCCCAAACCAACAAGCUUGCUUGUUGGGGUUGUAGGACACUCUAUACGGAGUUACAAAGGACGACAUUAGACGAAUCAUCUGGAAAGAUGAAUCAAAGAAGGUAAUAAUCCUGUAGUCGAAAAUGUUGUCUCUCUUGAGUGGAUCCUGAGUACGACGGAGCACGUGAAAUUCCGUCGGAAUCUGGGAGGACCAUCUCCUAAGGCUAAAUACUCUCUAGUGACCGAUAGUGAACCAGUACCGUGAGGGAAAGGUGAAAAGCACCCCGGAAGGGGAGUGAAAUAGAACCUGAAACCGUGUGCUUACAAGUAGUCAGAGCCCGUUAAUGGGUGAUGGCGUGCCUUUUGUAGAAUGAACCGGCGAGUUACGAUUUGAUGCAAGGUUAAGCAGUAAAUGUGGAGCCGUAGCGAAAGCGAGUCUGAAUAGGGCGUUUAGUAUUUGGUCGUAGACCCGAAACCAGGUGAUCUACCCUUGGUCAGGUUGAAGUUCAGGUAACACUGAAUGGAGGACCGAACCGACUUACGUUGAAAAGUGAGCGGAUGAACUGAGGGUAGCGGAGAAAUUCCAAUCGAACCUGGAGAUAGCUGGUUCUCUCCGAAAUAGCUUUAGGGCUAGCCUCAAGUGAUGAUUAUUGGAGGUAGAGCACUGUUUGGACGAGGGGCCCCUCUCGGGUUACCGAAUUCAGACAAACUCCGAAUGCCAAUUAAUUUAACUUGGGAGUCAGAACAUGGGUGAUAAGGUCCGUGUUCGAAAGGGAAACAGCCCAGACCACCAGCUAAGGUCCCAAAAUAUAUGUUAAGUGGAAAAGGAUGUGGCGUUGCCCAGACAACUAGGAUGUUGGCUUAGAAGCAGCCAUCAUUUAAAGAGUGCGUAAUAGCUCACUAGUCGAGUGACACUGCGCCGAAAAUGUACCGGGGCUAAACAUAUUACCGAAGCUGUGGAUUGUCCUUUGGACAAUGGUAGGAGAGCGUUCUAAGGGCGUUGAAGCAUGAUCGCAAGGACAUGUGGAGCGCUUAGAAGUGAGAAUGCCGGUGUGAGUAGCGAAAGACGGGUGAGAAUCCCGUCCACCGAUUGACUAAGGUUUCCAGAGGAAGGCUCGUCCGCUCUGGGUUAGUCGGGUCCUAAGCUGAGGCCGACAGGCGUAGGCGAUGGAUAACAGGUUGAUAUUCCUGUACCACCUAUAAUCGUUUUAAUCGAUGGGGGGACGCAGUAGGAUAGGCGAAGCGUGCGAUUGGAUUGCACGUCUAAGCAGUAAGGCUGAGUAUUAGGCAAAUCCGGUACUCGUUAAGGCUGAGCUGUGAUGGGGAGAAGACAUUGAGUCUUCGAGUCGUUGAUUUCACACUGCCGAGAAAAGCCUCUAGAUAGAAAAUAGGUGCCCGUACCGCAAACCGACACAGGUAGUCAAGAUGAGAAUUCUAAGGUGAGCGAGCGAACUCUCGUUAAGGAACUCGGCAAAAUGACCCCGUAACUUCGGGAGAAGGGGUGCUCUUUAGGGUUAACGCCCAGAAGAGCCGCAGUGAAUAGGCCCAAGCGACUGUUUAUCAAAAACACAGGUCUCUGCUAAACCGUAAGGUGAUGUAUAGGGGCUGACGCCUGCCCGGUGCUGGAAGGUUAAGAGGAGUGGUUAGCUUCUGCGAAGCUACGAAUCGAAGCCCCAGUAAACGGCGGCCGUAACUAUAACGGUCCUAAGGUAGCGAAAUUCCUUGUCGGGUAAGUUCCGACCCGCACGAAAGGCGUAACGAUUUGGGCACUGUCUCAACGAGAGACUCGGUGAAAUCAUAGUACCUGUGAAGAUGCAGGUUACCCGCGACAGGACGGAAAGACCCCGUGGAGCUUUACUGUAGCCUGAUAUUGAAAUUCGGCACAGCUUGUACAGGAUAGGUAGGAGCCUUUGAAACGUGAGCGCUAGCUUACGUGGAGGCGCUGGUGGGAUACUACCCUAGCUGUGUUGGCUUUCUAACCCGCACCACUUAUCGUGGUGGGAGACAGUGUCAGGCGGGCAGUUUGACUGGGGCGGUCGCCUCCUAAAAGGUAACGGAGGCGCUCAAAGGUUCCCUCAGAAUGGUUGGAAAUCAUUCAUAGAGUGUAAAGGCAUAAGGGAGCUUGACUGCGAGACCUACAAGUCGAGCAGGGUCGAAAGACGGACUUAGUGAUCCGGUGGUUCCGCAUGGAAGGGCCAUCGCUCAACGGAUAAAAGCUACCCCGGGGAUAACAGGCUUAUCUCCCCCAAGAGUUCACAUCGACGGGGAGGUUUGGCACCUCGAUGUCGGCUCAUCGCAUCCUGGGGCUGUAGUCGGUCCCAAGGGUUGGGCUGUUCGCCCAUUAAAGCGGUACGCGAGCUGGGUUCAGAACGUCGUGAGACAGUUCGGUCCCUAUCCGUCGUGGGCGUAGGAAAUUUGAGAGGAGCUGUCCUUAGUACGAGAGGACCGGGAUGGACAUACCUCUGGUGUACCAGUUGUCGUGCCAACGGCAUAGCUGGGUAGCUAUGUGUGGACGGGAUAAGUGCUGAAAGCAUCUAAGCAUGAAGCCCCCCUCAAGAUGAGAUUUCCCAACUUCGGUUAUAAGAUCCCUCAAAGAUGAUGAGGUUAAUAGGUUCGAGGUGGAAGCAUGGUGACAUGUGGAGCUGACGAAUACUAAUCGAUCGAAGACUUAAUCAA